Molecule: long non-coding RNA, 5714 nt
Organism: Zingiber officinale
Lineage: Eukaryota; Viridiplantae; Streptophyta; Magnoliopsida; Zingiberales; Zingiberaceae
Exons: 3
Source: RefSeq, a predicted model, not a curated record
AGACUCGAACCCGAGACCUUGACCCGAGUCGAAUCUCAGCUGAACCCAGCCCAACCAACCGGUCUGUAGUUGUUUUGUUAAUUAUAUAUGGAAUAAAAUGUAUAUAAGGUAGAAGUUAGUAAUAGAUAAUACUCGGAAAAAGAGGGGUUGCAGCGAGUUUUGAACCCGCGAUUCCAAGUAUGAGCCAAGCAGUAGCCAACCAACUGAGUUGUAAUUGUUUCGUUAAUCAUAUAUGGGGCGGAAUUAAUUUAAGUAAUAGAUGGAACCGAAAUAAUCCAGGUUAUUAAAGGAGAUUAUUUUCUUUUCCCGAAACCUAAAACCUAAUCUCUCCUUUUCUCCCCACGCACGCGACGCCAUUUUCUUCUCUCGGGCGAAACCGCAGCCAAGGCUAGGGUUCCUCCCUCCGGCGUCGGCGACGUGCUUUUCCGGCCGGUUUUCACCCGUGGGUGACCAUUCCGACAAGGAGAACUCGGGAGAUACAAGGAACCGGUAGAAUCGAAGCUCCACCGAAACCCUAAAGCAUUUCCCUUCGGUUGUAAGUCCAAGAACCCGAUAUAAAGGUAAAGAUAAAGGAAAAGCUAAAGUAUGAAAGGAAGGAGACAAGGAGCUGAUGGAGGUGUGAUGUGUGGACUAUGGAAGCCUUGGGACUAAGUUUUAGAAAUCUAUAAAUACUUGUAUUUAGACUAUUGGAGUUUUUGCCACCAUGUGAUGAUUUGGUUUAGCUUCUUAGAUGUUUUAUGUUUUAUAUUUAUUAGAACUGCGUGGUUGUUUGUUUAAUAUGAUUGUUAUAUAUGUAUCCAUGAUUAUUGUCACCGGUACAGGGGAGGUGCUGUCGGAAUUUUUGUCUAGCAGAAAUCUCUCUCGAGGCCUGACAAUAGUUUUAAAAAAAAAGUUAGUAGUCAAGUAGGUAGCGUUAACCACGUUAGGGAGUUAGUAGUUAAGUUAGUAACGGUCACCCUUACAGACUAGUGGUAAGAAGGGUGGUCGUUACAAAUAUAUCUAUGUGUUUGAAAUUAUAUGCUCUUGAGUCUUCUAAUAUUGAUUGUUAGUGUUGUAGUGUAAGAACAGGAGAUUUAUUUUAUCAUGGAUCGAUAUUUUCAACAUUUUGGAGGUGGAAUGGAGAGUCAGUAUUUUCAGCUUGAGCAUCAAUUUUGUCCAACCAUGGAUCAACAAAAUAGGUAUGAGUCAUUUUCUAAUACUUAUAAUUUUAAUUGAGUGGAUCAUUCAUAUUUCAGGUAUGAAAAUGCACAAAGACCAUUUAUUGAGCUAAAUCCAACCUACCAAAAUUCAUAUGGGUUUUUGAAGAAUGAUCCUCAAUUUGAAGUGUCAACAUGGAAAGCCAAUAAGGUUAUAAAGCAAAUGAGAGAGCAUCAAGAGCAACAAUUUACAAGGAUACUGAAUAUAUAGAUUCAAUUAGAUCAAAUUGCAUCAUUUAUCAUCCAGCUACAAACAUAAAACUCCAGUGGGGAGAUGGAAAGUAGAGAUUGUGUCAGGCCUGACCCUACUUCCAUUACUUCACAAGAUUUUUCUAGUAUUUUUUGUGAUGAUGAUGUAGUUGUAUAGAUUUUUGAUUCUACUAAUAUUAUUGCUGUAGAUAUUAUGAAUGAUGCAGGAACUGAACAUUUACUUGUUUAUGAUAUAAGUGUAGGGGAUUGCACAUUAAAAGCAAUACCUCAAGAAUAACUUUUUCCAGUUGCACAAUCACCUGAACUAGAUAUUGAUGAUAUAAGUGUAGGGGAUUGCACAUUGGAAGCAAUAUCCCAAGAAUCACCUGAACCAGAGCUUGAACCAUUACUUGAUGAUGAGGAGGUCACAAACACCAUUUUAGAACCCACAUGUACCUUUCAACAUGACAAGGUUAGUGUUUCUUGUGAUUUUUUAGAAAAUUUCUUUAAGGCACUAGUUUUUGAAUUAUAGAAUGUGAUGCUCAUGUUGAUACAUUUAGUGUAAAGAUUAAUUAUGUUUCACUAUUCUCUUAUCAUGAAAGUGUUCGGGUGGAGUUGUUUUUAUUUGCUUUUGUAGGACACAAUAGAUGUUUAAAAUGAGUACUUAAUCCGAAUCGCCUCCAACCUCCAGAGAGAAUUUUCAAAAGCAAAAUGAUGAAUAAAAAGAAUUUGAUUGUAACCAUAAUUACUCCACUACCAGAGUGGAUUCUCUGACUAAAUCUUCUUCAACCACCGGGAAUAAAGGAGAGUUGGUUCCAAUUUAGUUUUCUUUUGCAUUUUAAUUCAUGCUUUGAGUUUAGUCUUUUCUUCAAUAAAUUCCUUGUGUGCAAAUGUUGAUUUUGGUUCUGAGAAAUUAAUUCUUUACUAUAGGAAGUUUUCUUAUUGCAUUUAGUUUUGACUUUGAAUAAGAAAAUGACACCCCUUAACAUUUUCCUAUGAUAUGUUAGAGAUAGAGAAUGUGAGCUAGAUUUGAGUAUCUUAUUUUGGGCUUAAUGUCAUAAAUGGACUUUUAAUUUUCUCAAGGUUGUUACUUAAUGAUGGACACUUGAUUGGUAAAUUGAGAUGAUACAUUUAUACUUAGUGAGGAUGAACCUUAAUUGAGUGAUGCACUUAUGUUAUUGUUACUCUAGAACUUGCUUUGAUUCUUUCAAAACUACAUUCCAUGGAUGGGAUCAUACUUAUGAAAGUGUAUCCUUUGUUUUCCACUCUUCCACAUGUUUCUUGCUAAUCUUCUUGUUAAUCAUCAUAUCAUUUUAUUUUAUCUUAAUUCUUAAUUUUUCUUUGGAUGUGGAUAUUUUGAAUGUUAUAUGAUGAGUGAUUUGGCCAAGAGGACAAAGUUCAAGUGUGGGGGAGGUGUUUUGUGUUUUUGAGUGCUUGGAGUAAUUGGAUGCAUUUGUUUAUGGCCGGAAUUCAUAUUCAAGCUAAUGAUGAUGGAGUGUUGGGAUGAUGCCAUGGAGUUUAAUGUUAGAGGCUAUGGAGUUUGAAUUCUGUACAAUUCAGGAAGGUUUCAGGGUUUGGAAAAUGGUUGAGCAAGGGCUGGUUUUGGGAGGUGUUUCUUGUGCAAAAAUGCUGUAAAAUCUUUUGUGAAUGAAUGGCUCUUAUCAUUCUGUGCUAAAGGUAUCCAUUCUCUGAGUUUGAACAUGUCAAGAGCAAGCUUCUAUAGCCUUGAAUUUUGGAAUUUGAUACUAUGGUGAUACAUUUAAAACACCAUAGAUAGGUUUGGGAGAAGGUUUUGAAAUUACUGAAUUCUGAAUGCUAAAAUCCGGCCAUGCUGAUCACUGCCAUUCGAGAAAACCAUAGAAAUCUUCACUGCUCAAAUCUGGAAGUCACAACCAUUUUGAACAUCACUGAUUUCAGAAAUAUCACUGAUUUUGAACAUUUCUGUUUUGGAAACAUGGAAGCUGAUCACUGCUGGGAUGCUGUGAGAAUUUCAGUGAGAAACAGAUUGAGAGUUGGUGUAGAAUCUGGAAACAUUGCUGUUGAGCAAUUGGAUUAAAGGUUGGCUAAUUCGUGAACUCAAAUCGAAGUGGAGAAAAUUCAGAAUGGAAUUUAUAACAGAAACAUGAAUCCACAGAAACAGGAAAUCUGCAGAACAUGGAAGUGCAGAAACAAGGAAGCUGGAAACUGUUGUGUAUCAAAUGGUGUAUCAAAAAUUGGGAGCAACAUUCAAGCCAAGGGGAAGUUCAAGCGGAGAGACAAGGAAUUAAUACUUGACUGGUUGUUGAAAUCUGGGUACAAUUGUAUGGACAGUGAAGAGAAGAUGUAGGCUUGCUAAAUCUGAACAUUACUGUUGUGCACUCUGUAAGCUGAGUUGCAUUGAACUUGAUGUUCUUAUGAUUGAUGUUAGUAUAGAAUUUGCAAUUUCCAGAACUUAAUAGAAUUAAAAUCACUGAAAAUUCAGUUGAACAAUUCUGAUGAAGAGUUAACUGAUGCUUGAGUAGGGGCUUGCAUGAGUUGGGUUUAAGGAAGUGUUGCUGUGAGUUCAGUUGGUUCUUCACCCAUACAAGUAAAAGGAAAUCAGAAGAAGCAAAAUUGAAACCAUUGACUUCAGAAAUUCAGAAUUGUGUGUUGCAAAUCUGGAAGGAAUUAAAUGCAGGAAUCCCACAAUAAUGGAAGGGUUGUAAAGUUCUCUCUAAGUUGAACAACAUUAAGUUGGAUUUAAUGAAAAUGAGUACAUAAGAAGUAUCGCCAAUGCCGUGGAAUGCAGUAAAGGGCAGUGACAAGAAGAGCUUCAGAAAUGACAUAAGUUGCAGAAGAGAUUUGGGAAUGUUAAGGAAAUCAAAUGAAGCUAAAUCUGAAAUAUGAAACUCUUGUGAAAAUAUAGUGGGUUGUGAAAAGUUUGUAUCAAAGUAGUAUCAAGAUUCAAGAGUAGAAUUUUAAUCAGUGAAAAGGGUCAAGUGAAGCUCUGUGGGGUGCAGAAACAAAUGGUAUCAGAGGCCUUCCGUGAUUUCUACAGACUUUAUACUUUGAUAGCAAAGGAUUUGAAUUGCUGAAAUAAAAAACAAGUGAAGAGAAAAUUCAGAAACUGUGAAUUACUGAAACUGAAGCAUUAAAUGGAAGAAAAUAGGAUUGGAACUUUUAAUGAUGAGGUAUUACUCAUUUCAUGAAGCAUGUCAGAAUGUAAGUUAAACUUUGAGAAGGAGUAAGGAAGACAAAGGCUCUGGGUAAAAUCUGCAGAAAUUCAAUGCAAGAAAUUCAGAAACAGAACUGAAGCAGUGGGCUCUUGUAGCUACUGGAAUCUUAUCAAAAUGGAUCAUAAUUCAAAAUUCAAUUGGCAUCAAAGGAUCUUGGACUCGAAUUAAUUUGAACCAAAAUUGUGCUCGAAUAGGAGUUUAAACAAGGCAAUCAAGUUUUACAGCAAUUUGGACCGUCCAUCUAGGAUCAAGAGAGAUAUGAGCUAUUCAUCGAAGAUCUAUUCCAUUCAAGCCAUGUGGAAGUAGAUCACAUCCAUUGAUGAAGAUCCAGAGCUUUUGAUCCAAAUCUAAGAUGUUUGGACCAUUGAUCAAGAUGGAAGAAUUAUGGACCAUCUGAUUAGAUUAGAAGUUUAUUUAAAAGGCGUGAGAAGCUACAGUGAUUUAGGGCUCGGGCAUUUUCUUUCCUCGCGAUUUUUCACUGUUUAUCUUCUUCCUCCUGAUGCUUCCGUCCCCAUUCCAGAUCCAAGAGUAAGUCUUCUCUACCGACGGCGAUCUCUGAGCUGUUGGCGUCCAUCAUCCGAUGUCAGAGAGUGGCAGAGGGAGGUACCCCAAUCCGCGAGAUUGAUUUCUAUUCACUGCCACAUUCCAUAUCGAGCGAGGUUCCCAAUCUGCGAAUUUUGCCAUCCACGGAGCUUGAAGGGAGGUACCCAAGAGUUUCUAAUUCCAUUCCGAUCUUCAUUCCGCAGCAAUACUAGAUUAAUUUGAUCAAUCAAUCUGGUUAAGCAAUUCACAGAGUUCAUCCUCUGUUCUUCGGGCGAUGUGAUUACCAGCUGUUGCGAGCUUGAAGGGAGGUACCCAGGAGCUGUGAGAAUCAUCUGAUAUUAGAUGAGAGCUUGAACAAUCUUCGUUGGAUGCCUGAAGGGAGGUUCCCAGGAGCAUUUCUGUGUCAUGACAGAGUGAGUGGUUGAAUCUUGGUUUUGAAUAUGGAAUGUGUUUUGUUUUUGUUUACCUUUGAUUUCUAAUUCCCUUGCUCAGAUCUGAUGAUCUGAUAGCAUAGUUUGCAAUUUACUUUCUAUUUUGAACUUUCCAUUUCGUUUACUGAAAAUGUGUUUAGUUAGUUAUUGAGUUUGGCAAA